GUCUUGGAAGGUUAACGCAAAAACAUAAAAUAGUAGUCACAUUUUAAACUUCACUAAGCUGCUGCAUCACUUAAAAACCUUGGCAAACGCGUCUAUCCUUCUUGGGCCUGGACGAUUUUAAGAGUAACUCCCCCACCGCGUCCUCUUAAAGGCCACCGCUAGUCUCCGUCCUCCUUCUCACUCCCACACACUUGAAUUGAGCGCUGUGUCUUUAAGGGGGAAGCGGAGGUUUCCGUUCGGGACAAAAUGUCUGCGAGGAGCCUGUAGGGGAUGGGCGAUCAGGACUCGCGACCCGCAGGGAACUCCCGCCCGUAGGGGACUCCCGCCCGUGUCGCGGGCCUCACGAUACAUGAAUACAUGGCAGCAACCUAAUAGGUCAACAGAGAUGAACAGAUAACAAUGAACUGUGAUUUCCUGACAUUUCAGUGGCCAAAGCUAAUUAUUUCUUUUACUUAUUGUAUUCUACUUUGGUUUGUCACUGGUGGAUGGAAUAAAUGAAAAUCUUUCUUAGUGUUUUCACACAGUCUGUAUAAAUUUCACAUUAGUGUGGACUUCUCACCUAAUCCAGAGCUCAACCAACAAGUAUAUUUGUGUUUCUCCCUGACUAAUCCAACUAAAGUGAUUAGCCAUGACUGCAGAAGGACAAAUGGAGCUAUAAUUCAGUUGUUCUUUUGAGAACAUUAUUUGGUUCUUUGGUCUUUAGCAUGCUUAAUAUUUUUUAUGGGUUUAAGCAUAAAUAUAUAAAAUAAAAUUAGCUUUCAUAGGGAGUUCAUAGGAUGACUACACAUAUUAAAGCAAUGUGGGUCUGAGAUAAAUGUCUUCUUAAGAAAAGAAUGCUUUACAAUUUAUAUUUUUUAAAAUGCAUUAAUAAGGGAUGGGGGUAUGUGUA
This 889-nucleotide long non-coding RNA is filed under the name Ictidomys tridecemlineatus (thirteen-lined ground squirrel). RNAcentral describes it as "lncRNA (ENSSTOG00000029308.1)". Lineage: Eukaryota; Metazoa; Chordata; Mammalia; Rodentia; Sciuridae. The record is from RNAcentral.